RNAcentral lists this non-coding RNA (204 nucleotides) under Streptococcus pneumoniae. Lineage: Bacteria; Bacillati; Bacillota; Bacilli; Lactobacillales; Streptococcaceae. The record is from RNAcentral.
AUUACUAACAAGGAGGAAUAUAAUAGAUGAAGAAAAGAAAAAUCCAACUGAUACUCCUACUUAUUUCGGAGUGGGUUAUUGUCAUUCCAUUUUUAACUAAUCUAUAAGUUCUUUAUAUUGCUGAAAACGCAAUUCAAAAAGGGAUGUUAAUUGUGGAUUUUCUAAUACCUGCAGAGAUUGGAUAAAGCGUUCAAUCUCUUUUUG